CGGUUAAGUCCCGUAACGAGCGCAACCCUUGUCCUUAGUUACCAGCACGUAAUGGUGGGCACUCUAAGGAGACUGCCGGUGACAAACCGGAGGAAGGUGGGGAUGACGUCAAGUCAUCAUGGCCCUUACGGCCUGGGCUACACACGUGCUACAAUGGUCGGUACAAAGGGUUGCCAAGCCGCGAGGUGGAGCUAAUCCCAUAAAACCGAUCGUAGUCCGGAUCGCAGUCUGCAACUCGACUGCGUGAAGUCGGAAUCGCUAGUAAUCGUGAAUCAGAAUGUCACGGUGAAUACGUUCCCGGGCCUU
RNAcentral lists this ribosomal RNA (306 nucleotides) under uncultured Pseudomonas sp. RNAcentral's name for it is "bacterial SSU rRNA". It matches the Rfam family "Bacterial small subunit ribosomal RNA", at positions 1077 to 1382 of the family's 1533-position model. The record is from RNAcentral. Lineage: Bacteria; Pseudomonadati; Pseudomonadota; Gammaproteobacteria; Pseudomonadales; Pseudomonadaceae.